This is a non-coding RNA of Xyrichtys novacula (pearly razorfish), 78 nucleotides long. The record is from the annotation of a GenBank genome assembly. Lineage: Eukaryota; Metazoa; Chordata; Actinopteri; Labriformes; Labridae.
AAAGGAAAAGGACAAUACUGUGUUCAUGUGUUGGAUGUGCUCAUCCUACACAUGAACAGAGUAUUGACCUUUUCCUUA